GUCCCAGUAGCUCAGCUGGAUAGAGCGGCUGCCUUCUAAGCAGCGGGCCGUGGGUUCGAAUCCCGCCUGGGACG
Transfer RNA from Dehalogenimonas alkenigignens, 74 nucleotides. It matches the Rfam family "tRNA". Rfam says of the family: Transfer RNA (tRNA) molecules are approximately 80 nucleotides in length. Their secondary structure includes four short double-helical elements and three loops (D, anti-codon, and T loops). NCBI's taxonomy places the organism in Bacteria, Bacillati, Chloroflexota, Dehalococcoidia, Dehalococcoidales, Dehalococcoidaceae. The record is from Rfam.